This 480-nucleotide ribosomal RNA is filed under the name uncultured bacterium. RNAcentral's name for it is "partial 16S ribosomal RNA". It matches the Rfam family "Bacterial small subunit ribosomal RNA", at positions 29 to 507 of the family's 1533-position model. The record is from RNAcentral.
AUGCACGCUGGCGGCGUGCUUUACCCCUGCAAGUCGUACGAAGCACUUUAUUUGAUUUCCUUCGGGACUGAUUAUUCUGUGACUGAGUGGCGGACGGGUGAGUAACGCGUGGGUAACCUGCCAUGUACAGGGGGAUAACAGUUGGAAACGGCUGCUAAUACCGCAUAAGCGCACAGCAUCGCAUGAUGCAGUGUGAAAAACUCCGGGGGUAUAAGAUGGACCCGCGUUGGAUUAGCUAGUUGGUGAGGUAACGGCCCACCAAGGCGACGAUCCAUAGCCGACCUGGGAGGGUGACCGGCCACAUUGGGACUGAGGCACGGCCCAGACUCCUACGGGAGGCGGCAGUGGGGAAUGUUGCACAGUGGGCGGAAGCCUGAUGGAGCGACGCCGCGUGAGCGAAGAAGUAUUUCGGUAUGUAAAGCUGUAUCAGCAGGGAAGAUAAUGACGGUACCUGACAAAGAAGCACCGGCUAAAUACGUG